RNAcentral lists this ribosomal RNA (271 nucleotides) under Bacillus subtilis. Its description in RNAcentral is "partial 16S ribosomal RNA". It matches the Rfam family "Bacterial small subunit ribosomal RNA", at positions 555 to 825 of the family's 1533-position model. Lineage: Bacteria; Bacillati; Bacillota; Bacilli; Caryophanales; Bacillaceae. The record is from RNAcentral.
UGGGCGUAAAGGGCUCGCAGGCGGUUUCUUAAGUCUGAUGUGAAAGCCCCCGGCUCAACCGGGGAGGGUCAUUGGAAACUGGGGAACUUGAGUGCAGAAGAGGAGAGUGGAAUUCCACGUGUAGCGGUGAAAUGCGUAGAGAUGUGGAGGAACACCAGUGGCGAAGGCGACUCUCUGGUCUGUAACUGACGCUGAGGAGCGAAAGCGUGGGGAGCGAACAGGAUUAGAUACCCUGGUAGUCCACGCCGUAAACGAUGUGUGCUAAGUGUUA